AUGGAGACUCUCCUGAAAGUGCUUUCAGGCACCUUGUUGUGGCAGUUGACCUGGGUGAGAAGCCAACAACCAGUGCAGAGUCCUCAAGCCGUGAUCCUCCGAGAAGGGGAAGAUGCUGUCAUCAACUGCAGUUCCUCCAAGGCUUUAUAUUCUGUACACUGGUACAGGCAGAAGCAUGGUGAAGCACCCGUCUUCCUGAUGAUAUUACUGAAGGGUGGAGAACAGAAGGGUCAUGACAAAAUAUCUGCUUCAUUUAAUGAAAAAAAGCAGCAAAGCUCCCUGUACCUUACGGCCUCCCAGCUCAGUUACUCAGGAACCUACUUCUGCGGCACAGAGA
This is a non-coding RNA of Homo sapiens (human), 337 nucleotides long. NCBI's taxonomy places the organism in Eukaryota, Metazoa, Chordata, Mammalia, Primates, Hominidae. The record is from the annotation of a RefSeq genome assembly.